RNAcentral lists this ribosomal RNA (450 nucleotides) under uncultured bacterium. RNAcentral's name for it is "bacterial SSU rRNA". It matches the Rfam family "Bacterial small subunit ribosomal RNA", at positions 329 to 795 of the family's 1533-position model. The record is from RNAcentral.
GACCAGACUCCUACGGGAGGCAGCAGUGGGGGAUAUUGCACAAUGGGGGGAACCCUGAUGCAGCGACGCCGCGUGGGUGAAGGAGCGUUUCGGCGCGUAAAGCCCUAUCGGCAGGGAAGAAGGAGGACGGUACCUGACUAAGAAGCCCCGACUAACUACGUGCCAGCAGCCGCGGGAAUACGUAGGGGGCAAGCGUUAUCCGGAUUUACCGGGUGGAAAGGGGGCGCAGACGGCAGCGCAAGCCAGGAGUGAAAGCCCGGGGCCCAACCCCCGGACUGCUCUGGAAACUGUAUGACUUGAGUGCAGGAGAGGUAAGCGGAAUUCCUAGUGUAGCGGUGAAAUGCGUAGAUAUCAGGAGGAACACCGGCGGCGAAGGCGGCCUGCUGGACCGCGACUGACGUUGAGGCUCGAAAGCGUGGGGAGCAAACAGGAUUAGAUACCCCGGUACAC